This 47-nucleotide non-coding RNA is filed under the name Schistosoma margrebowiei. Lineage: Eukaryota; Metazoa; Platyhelminthes; Trematoda; Strigeidida; Schistosomatidae. The record is from RNAcentral.
AUCUAGAUGACGAGUCCCAAAUAGGACGAAAGCACGUCAAUCUGUAU